Molecule: long non-coding RNA, 3397 nt
Organism: Trachemys scripta elegans
Lineage: Eukaryota; Metazoa; Chordata; Testudines; Emydidae
Exons: 2
Source: RefSeq, a predicted model, not a curated record
CAGAAAUGUAUUGGUCAGUGUUUUUAGCAGAUGGCUGCAGUUUCACUCACACUAGCAGAAAUAAUAGAGAUAAGAAGCGAGGUAGUUAGUUUACAGGCAUCUAAUCCAAGGUCGCAAAGACUGGGAAAGUUUUCUCACAAGCUUAUGUAGAGCUUAUUGUAACAGUUGUCUGGAAGGGAGGGGUAAGGGGGAACAGCCAGACAAAGAGAUGUAUGCAAACAGUUUGAAGUAUAAAAGCACACCGGGCGACAAACCCCCUGUUUGCCAUCUCGGGGCCCAGUUCUGGGUCAGGCAACAGUUUUGGCACCCAACGUGGAGCUCGAGGCUGAAAUUUAGCCUUGCCCGGAUCCCUCCUGGUGGCCGACGGAUUACGACGACGACCGACGCCCAGAGCGCUCACCGAUGACUUCAUCAGGGGCCUCAGCAGAGACGUGGUUUGCUCGACCCCGGAGGGCACAACGGUGCAACGCACACAGACAGUGGAGAAGCAGCUGCGGGCGACGGUGGGGAACCGGUCCCGUUGAUAGGGCGACGGUGAUGGUGCAGAACCGGACCCUUGGAUAAGGUAGGAACAGUCCAGUGGGGACUUAUCUGUCUUGACCUGGGGACGCCCAGUGUCUGCCUGUUGUGACCUGGGGACGCCCAGAGUCUCCCUUGGUAUGGGGCAGGGACAGAGUACAGCCGGCAGGGUACAGUGUACACCUUUAGAAUGCAUUCUGGUGAACUGGAAGGUGUUUGGAUCUGAUCAGUUGAUUAAAAGUAAAUUGAAAAGGUUCUGUACAGUUGAUUGGCCUCAGUACCAGCUAGAGUGCCAAGAAAGGUGGCCACCGGAAGGACACUUAAUUACAACACGAUCCUUCAAUUGCUUUUGUUCUGUCAGAGAACAGGUAAAUGGAAUGAACAUCUCUAUGUGUAUACGUUUAUGGUGUUAAGAAAUAGGACUGAUAUUUUGCUCAAGUGCCAUUUGACUCUGACAGGCUCGGUAGUAACGGCUGCUAAACCCCAGAACCCUCCCACUGUUGUAAUGCCAGAAUUGGUGUCCCCUUCGGCUCCGCCACCCCCACAGGCUCCAGAGAGAACCCCCCCCCCGUGGGAUUGUAUCCGUUGAUUACGGAGAGUGUGGUAGCCCGUCCAGGAACUCAGGAAUGGCCAGUUCACAUAGUGUCUGUAUAUUCGCAUGUUGCUUUUAACCCUGUACAUCUGGCUGCUUUUAAGGCAGAGGCAGGAGAAUUUUCAACGAAUCCAAGCAAGUUCAUUUCUAUCUUUGAAGGGUGUCUAGCUAGCCAUAAACCUGACUGGGAUGGUUGCAAUAUACUUAUGAGAACCCUGUUGUCUGAAGUGGAGCGGAAUCAGGUUAUAGCUAAGGCUAGGGAUGAAGACUGGGAAGGCAUUUAAGGUUUAAAAGGGAAAGCUAUUGGAUACCAGAGGUUGUACAGAGUGGAAUCCUCAGAAGUGAGUGUGCUCGUCCUGGUUUGUUGCUUCAAAGCUCUGUACAGAAGUUAUGUUACUGAAAGGAUGUAUAAUGGCAAUGAGUAUGUGUUAAUGGUUGGAGAAAAGGUAUAUGAGUGAAGAGUGGAAGGUUCCUUUGGAAGUUAGAAGAAGCCGAGAAAGGGAGAAGGAAAAGCACAGAAUGAGUUAACUGAGAGGAAAAUACAGCUAGCAGGUUUAAUCCAAGGACAUUGUACGCAGCUAAGCCUUUGCUGACAAUCAAGAGAAAGGGGGGCCUGAAUGUGCCCAAGCAACUGUGAGAUCUGCAAAAUACUGCAAGGCAUAAUGAGGACAACAGAAGAGUUAAGAAGCAGUUUUGCUGGACAGUAUUGGCCCAGGGAUUUAAAAUUCCCCCACUCUGUUCAGACAGGCUUUGGCCAGAGACUUGGAGGAGUGGGAUAAUUCAGACAGAGCCCUCCUGCUGCAAUAUGUAGAUGACUUGUUAAUUGCUGCUGUGGGUCUAAUCCCUUGUCUUAGAGCUACUGUGAGUCUCCUAAACUUUAUUGGACUGCGAGGAUACAGAGUAUCUCAAAGCAAAGCCCAAUUUGCUCUUUCAGAGGUUCAAUAUCUGGGAUUUCACAUCAGGCAGGGAGAGAGACAGCUCUCAAACGAAAGGAAGGAGGCUAUCUGCCAAGUUCCCAUCCCCAGCAACUGUAAACGGCUUAGGGCAUUCCUGGGCAUGGCAGGUUUUUGCAGAAUAUGGGUUCCAGAGUUUGGACUGUGGGCUAAACCUCUGUAUGAAUGUGUUAAGGGAGCGGAACAUGACCCCUUUCACUGGUCCCCAGAAGCGGACAGGGCAUUUAAAAUCUUGAAAAGGAAGCUAAUGGAAGCUCCAACCCUGGGUUUGCCCGAUAUAUCUAAGCCGUUCCAACUGUAUGUGCAUGAACGAAAAGGGGUAGCUUUGGGAAUGCUUACCCAGCUAUUAGGUGCCUGGAAACGUCCCGUGGCAUACUUUUCUAAACAACUGGAUCAAGUUUCAAAGGGAUGGCCAGCCUGUUUGAGGGCGGUCGCAGCUACUGCUCUAGUGCUUGGGGAAGCUGAAAAGCUGACACUGGGAGGAACUGUGCAAGUGUAUGUUCCCCAUAUGGUCCGAGCCUUGCUGGACACUAAGGGUGGUCUUUGGCUCACACAGGCUCGGGUUGCUCGGUACCAGGCGAAGCUGUUAGAGAAUCCUGAAGUCACCCUGCAGACCUGUCCCUCCCUUAAUCCAGCUACACUGCUACCAGAGACAGAAAAGCAGGAACAUGACUGUUUAGAAAUCAUAGAUGUUCAGUAUUCUAGCUGCCCAGAUCUAAAAGAUCAGCCACUCCCAAAUGCUGACUUGGAAUGGUAUACAGAUGGAAGUAGUACUGUUGUGGAUGGGCAAAGGAGGGCUGGUUAUGCUAUUGUGUCUCUUCAUGAUACCGUGAGUACCAUGAUACUGAGAGUUUACCAGCAGGAACACCUGCCCAGCGUGCUGAACUAGCGGCCGUGACUCGUGCACUCGAGCUGGCAAAAGACAAACGGGUUAAUAUCUUUACUGACUCAAAGUAUGCUUUUGGGGUAUUGCAUGCUCACGCUGGUUUGUGGAAGCAAAGGGGAACGCUAACAGCCCAAGAUUCUCCGGUUAAGCAUGGGUCUCAAAUUCUCUGGCUGUUAGAAGCGGUACAACUCCCCGCAGCAGUAGCAGUGGUGCAUUGCAAAGCCCAUCAAAGGGAAGAUCAAGAUGUAACCAAGGGUAAUGCCAGAGCAGACAGGGAAGCUAAGCGAGCUGCUACCCUGAAAUCACCAACAGAGGAGAAUGCCCAAAUGCAUGCCCUCAUCCCAUCAGUGGGUGAGCUUGCAGCCCCUCAGUACUCCCAAGAGGACAGAAACCUGGCUGACAGUCUUGGUCUCCAGGAAAAGGAGGGAUGGCUUUAUUCCACAGAGG